Cylas formicarius (sweet potato weevil) is the source of this 296-nucleotide long non-coding RNA. RefSeq lists it as uncharacterized. Lineage: Eukaryota; Metazoa; Arthropoda; Insecta; Coleoptera; Brentidae. The transcript is spliced from 3 exons. The record is from RefSeq and is a predicted model, not a curated record.
GUCCAAGUGUACGACUACGAGCGGUAGACCGCAUGUUACAGCUGCUAUGUGAAUUUUGGAACUACACGCUUUUUAGAUUCGAUGGACCGAAUACUCUUUUCGUCAGCCAGAAAAAAAAUAGAGAACAGCUGCUUAAUUGUCUCUCUAGCCUAAGGAAUACUAAAAAUCAACUGGAAAUCCACGAUCUACAAGAUGGCAAUCAUUGGGUAAAUUAUUUUGAAAUAAACACCAUUGCGUUACGCAAAGUGCUGAGCACGCUACAGCACUCGGACGAAAUGGGAGGCCGUAAGAUCUAU